AAAACGACUCUCGGCAACGGAUAUCUUGGCUCUCGCAUCGAUGAAGAACGUAGCGAAAUGCGAUACUUGGUGUGAAUUGCAGAAUCCCGUGAACCAUCGAGUCUUUGAACGCAAGUUGCGCCCCAAGCCGUUAGGCCGAGGGCACGUCUGCCUGGGUGUCACGC
Molecule: ribosomal RNA, 164 nt
Filed under: Bergera kwangsiensis
Lineage: Eukaryota; Viridiplantae; Streptophyta; Magnoliopsida; Sapindales; Rutaceae
Description: Murraya kwangsiensis 5.8S ribosomal RNA
Rfam family: 5.8S ribosomal RNA
About the family: 5.8S ribosomal RNA (5.8S rRNA) is a component of the large subunit of the eukaryotic ribosome.
Source: RNAcentral